Molecule: ribosomal RNA, 492 nt
Filed under: uncultured bacterium
Lineage: Bacteria
Description: bacterial SSU rRNA
Rfam family: Bacterial small subunit ribosomal RNA
Source: RNAcentral
CUGGCUCAGGAUGAACGCUGGCGGCGUGCUUAACACAUGCAAGUCGAACGGAGCCAAAAGGAAGCUUGCUUCUUGAAGCUUAGUGGCGGACGGGUGAGUAACGCGUGAGCAACCUGCCCUUCAGUGGGGAAUAACACAGAGAAAUCUGUGCUAAUACCGCAUAACGUCUUCUUGCCGCAUGACAGGAAGACCAAAGGAUUUAUUCGCUGAAGGAUGGGCUCGCGUCCGAUUAGGCAGUUGGUGAGGUAACGGCUCACCAAACCUACGAUCGGUAGCCGAACUGAGAGGUUGAUCGGCCACAUUGGGACUGAGACACGGCCCAGACUCCUACGGGAGGCAGCAGUGGGGAAUAUUGGGCAAUGGGGCGAAAGCCUGACCCAGCAACGCCGCGUGAAGGAAGACGGUCUUCGGAUUGUAAACUUCUUUGAUUGGGGAAGAACAAAAUGACCUACCCAAAGAACAAGUCACGGCUAACUACGUGCCAGCCGCGGC